CGAAAAGAGGGAAAGAGCUUGCUCUUUCCGGAAUUGAGUGGCAAACGGGUGAGUAACACGUAAACAACCUGCCUUCAGGAUGGGGACAACAGACGGAAACGACUGCUAAUACCGAAUAAGUUCCAAGAGCCGCAUGGCCCAUGGAAGAAAAGGUGGCCUCUACCUGUAAGCUAUCGCCUGAAGAGGGGUUUGCGUCUGAUUAGCUGGUUGGAGGGGUAACGGCCCACCAAGGCGACGAUCAGUAGCCGGUCUGAGAGGAUGAACGGCCACACUGGAACUGAGACACGGUCCAGACUCCUACGGGAGGCAGCAGUGGGGAACCUUCCGCAAUGGGCGAAAGCCUGACGGAGCAACGCCGCGUGAGUGAUGACGGCCUUCGGGUUGUAAAACUCUGUGAUCCGGGACGAAAAGGCAGAGUGCGAAGAACAAACUGCAUUGACGGUACCGGAAAAGCAAGCCACGGCUAACUACGUGCCAGCAGCCGCGGUAAUACGUAGGUGGCAAGCGUUGUCCGGAAUUAUUGGGCGUAAAGCGCGCGCAGGCGGCUUCCCAAGUCCCUCUUAAAAGUGCGGGGCUUAACCCCGUGAUGGGAAGGAAACUGGGAAGCUGGAGUAUCGGAGAGGAAAGUGGAAUUCCUAGUGUAGCGGUGAAAUGCGUAGAGAUUAGGAAGAACACCGGUGGCGAAGGCGACUUUCUGG
Molecule: ribosomal RNA, 698 nt
Filed under: uncultured Peptococcaceae bacterium
Lineage: Bacteria; Bacillati; Bacillota; Clostridia; Eubacteriales; Peptococcaceae
Description: bacterial SSU rRNA
Rfam family: Bacterial small subunit ribosomal RNA
Source: RNAcentral